CCUACGGGAGGCAGCAGUGGGGAAUCUUCCGCAAUGGGCGCAAGCCUGACGGAGCAACGCCGCGUGAGUGAAGAAGGUCUUCGGAUCGUAAAGCUCUGUUGAUGGGGACGAACGUGCCUAAUGCGAAUAGUUUUAGGCAAUGACGGUACCCAUCGAGGAAGCCACGGCUAACUACGUGCCAGCAGCCGCGGUAAUACGUAGGUGGCAAGCGUUGUCCGGAAUCAUUGGGCGUAAAGGGAGCGCAGGCGGGCAUGUAAGUCUUUCUUAAAAGUGCGGGGCUCAACCCCGUGAUGGGAAAGAAACUAUAUGUCUUGAGUACAGGAGAGGAAAGCGGAAUUCCCAGUGUAGCGGUGAAAUGCGUAGAUAUUGGGAGGAACACCAGUGGCGAAGGCGGCUUUCUGGACUGCAACUGACGCUGAGGCUCGAAAGCCAGGGGAGCGAACGGGAUUAGAUACCCUUGUAGUC
This 465-nucleotide ribosomal RNA is filed under the name uncultured Selenomonas sp. RNAcentral describes it as "bacterial SSU rRNA". It matches the Rfam family "Bacterial small subunit ribosomal RNA", at positions 338 to 795 of the family's 1533-position model. The record is from RNAcentral. Lineage: Bacteria; Bacillati; Bacillota; Negativicutes; Selenomonadales; Selenomonadaceae.